Molecule: ribosomal RNA, 253 nt
Filed under: uncultured bacterium
Lineage: Bacteria
Description: partial 16S ribosomal RNA
Rfam family: Bacterial small subunit ribosomal RNA
Source: RNAcentral
UACGAAGGGAGCUAGCGUUGUUCGAAAUCACUGGGCGUAAAGCGCACGUAGGCGGAUGUGUCAGUCAGGGGUGAAAUCCCGGAGCUCAACUUCGGAACUGCCUUUGAUACAGCACGUCUUGAGUCCGAUAGAGGUGGGUGGAAUUCCUAGUGUAGAGGUGAAAUUCGUAGAUAUUAGGAGGAACACCGGUGGCGAAGGCGGCAUCCUGGACCGGUAUUGACGCUGAGGCGCGAAAGCCAGGGGAGCAAACGGG